This 1826-nucleotide long non-coding RNA is filed under the name Homo sapiens (human). RNAcentral's name for it is "HSALNT0126263". Lineage: Eukaryota; Metazoa; Chordata; Mammalia; Primates; Hominidae. The record is from RNAcentral.
UCCUUUUCGGACUCAGUCAGCCUGCACCCAGGUGAUUAAAAAGCUUUAUUGCUCACACAAAGACUGUUUGGUGGUCUCUUCACAUGGACGCAAAUGACAUUUGGUGCCAAAGACCUGGGACAGGGGGACUCCUUCGGGAGUCCCAUCCCCUGUCCUCGCCCUCACUCCAUGGGGAGAUCCACCUCUUGGGUCCUCAGACCAGCCAGCCCAAGGUCAUCUCACCAAUUUUAAAUCGGGUCUCCUUGGCUUAGUGGCUGAAGACUGAUGCUACCCGAUCACCUCGGAAGCCCCCCGGAGAAUCACGGAUGCCAAACUUCAGGUUCAGCACUCCUGCAGAAACUGAUACUCACCCCAGAAAGACACCUUUUCCCAUCCCUCUGGCCCCUAAGCCUCCAGGGCUGCUCGGCACCUGGCCUCAGCAGGUGAACAUCAUGCCAGAUUCCUUGUCAGAUUCAAGGCCAAGUGGGUGAAUGUCAUGUGCAGUGUUGUGCCAGGUAUGUGCCGGGAGCCACAUGUUCCUUGGGGACAGCCUAGUGAAGCAGGAGACAAAUAAACAUGCUUGGAUGGAGGUAUGCAUGUGCUGUAACUCUGGAAUCCCUGGAAUAAUGGAGCCCUACAGAGAGGUACCUAAGAAAAGAAGUGACAGCGUCAAAGCAACAAAGGACAGACACGGGUAGGUGGGUGACAAUCCCCAGGAGAAGUAGGAUAAAAGUCCAGGGAAUUCUGGUACAUUUCUGUCUCCUUUCAGUGGCUUCGCUGAGCACAUUAAAUAGGGCCAUGCUACUAUCCCCAGUUUACAGAUGUAGAAACUGAGGCUCAGUGACUGCAAGUAGCUUCCCAACUGAUACUGAUCACAAUAAAAUAUUAUAAAAAGUUAACAGGAAGGGAGAUAUUAGGUCCUCUGCUGCUCUGGUGCACCUGCCAUUCCUUGCUAAGCAUCACUAUGGCAAAUAGUAAGACUCAAGGCUGCAACCAGAAAUUGGUUGAGAUUCGUGUUCCUGUCUCAAGGGUUACUCCCAGUGGCACCCCCUGGGUUUUCUAGAACAAAGGACUCCAUCUCAGCAGGGAGAAAGAAAGAUGCAGUUUCUGACCAUAUCAAUGGCAUUGCUGGAGGAUCUCCCUCUCUAUGUUGCCACACCGAGAGGUGCACAGAACACAUUCUGACAAGUAAAGAUUCCAGUGUCAUCUGAUAACUAUCAACAACUUCAUUAGCUCACCUAAACAAAGAGCCUUUCUUAUUUUUUUAGAAACAAAACUCUUAUGGAAACGAUUAUGUUUUCUUCUUUCCUCUAAAACACUUACUUGGCUAAGAUGAUUUUUAUUCUAAGAUGAAGAUUUACCUGCCCUACAAACUUCAGGAGGUGGUGUGACUGGUUGGAAUCUAUACCAACAGUGAUAGACUAAUCGUUGCUUGGAAUUCAAAUGCAGCCAGCACUCUGUCCUAACUAAUGAAAUUGGUGUUGUUCUGCAAAGGAAAAUAAUUGAAGGCAUGUUCUGCCACUUAAUUCCACAGAAAGUAACAUCUUCUAACAUGUAGGGACUUGCCUACUGAGAGCUGCACUGACUGUGUCAAGGAAGAUACUAUGCAUUGGAAGAACACCCAAGCAACACUUGCCUCUCCCCUACUCAUUUCCUGUAUUAAAGCAUUCAUCAUGUUUUUAAAGCUGUGCUGUCAGUAUUGUGCUCCCAGACAUUAUUCUUGGUCUUGGUCAACUUUGUACCCUAAGCACAUGGAGAAGAGACAAAUAAGCAGAUAAUUAUAGGACAGCUAAGGAAAAAUAAUCAUAAAAUUGUGAGAAAAAUCAUGUCCUUAUCAACAAUGAAAG